Molecule: ribosomal RNA, 1154 nt
Filed under: uncultured soil eukaryote
Lineage: Eukaryota
Description: SSU rRNA
Rfam family: Eukaryotic small subunit ribosomal RNA
Source: RNAcentral
GGUUGAUUCUGCCAGUUGGAUAUGCUUGUUUCAAGGACUAAGCCAUGCAUGCCUCAGAAUAACUGCACUGCAGGAAUCUGCGCAUGGCUCAUUACAUCAGACGCAAUCUGCCGCAAAAAUGUUGCGGUUUCCGCAUAUUGGAUAACUUGUGCGAAACGCCAAGCUAAUACAUGAAUCAGAGGGUUUAGCCACCAUUCACGCCGGGGGAGGCUUCGGCCAAACUCGGUAGCGUGGCGCCCUGCGAAUGAAUGAAAUUAAAACCAAUGCCCUUUACGGGGCAGCAACACCAAGCAGUGUUGACUCAAUUCAUUCCGUGCGAAAGCCGGUCUGACCGGCGUCUUUCGAUGAACAACUGCUCUAUCAGCCAGUGAUGGCCGUGUAGUGGACUGCCAUGGCGUUGACGGAAGCGGGGGAUUAGGGUUCGAUUCCGGAGAGGGAGCCUGAGAAAUGGCUACCACUUCUACGGAGGGCAGCAGGCGCGCAAAUUGCCCAAUGCCAAGAAAUGAUGAGGCAGCGAAAAGAAAUAGGUCUCCUAAGCGGUUUACGCCGUUUGGGAGUUGCAAUGGGGGAUAUUUAAAACCAUCCAAUAUCGAGUAUCAAUUGGAGGACAAGUCUGGUGCCAGCACCCGCGGUAAUUCCAGCUCCAAGAGCGUAUCUAAACGCUGUUGCUGUUAAAGGGUUCGUAGUUGAAUUGUGAGCUGUUCAGCCUAGCGGAAUCAGUCCCUGCCUCCGGCACGCGACCUUCCCUCUGGCAGCUCGUGAACAUCCAGAAACAAAUUCACGGGAGUGUUUGACCUUUCCGAUUUACGCAUGCAAUGUAUGCUCAGGGGGGCGCCCGUGUCUUUUACUGUGACUAAAAAAGCGCGACCAAAGCAGUCGUUGACAUGAAUUUCAAAGCAUGGGAUAACAACGAAGCAGCCUACGGGGUACCGUUUUGGCUUUUGUUGGUUUUAAAGCUCUGUGGGAGACUAUGGACUCGCAUGACAAGUGGCUUGGGGUUUUAUCCCCACACCUCCGUCGCCGUGGGGCUCUCGGGCUCUCGGCGCGCGGCUUGCGUUGGUCCAGGAAUGAAGGAGGGUUGUUCGGGGGAGAACGUACUUGAGCGUGAGAGGUGAAAUUCUUAGACCGCUCAAAGACGAACUACAGCGAAGGCA